CAGCCGCCGCGGUAAUACGUAGGUGGCAAGCGUUGUCCGGAAUUAUUGGGCGUAAAGGGCUCGCAGGCGGUUUCUUAAGUCUGAUGUGAAAACCCCCGGCUCAACCGGGGAGGGUUAUUGGAAACUGGGAAACUUGAGUGCAGAAGAGGAGAGUGGAAUUCCACGUGUAGCGGUGAAAUGCGUAGAGAUGUGGAGGAACACCAGUGGCGAAGGCGACUCUCUGGUCUGUAACUGACGCUGAGGAGCGAAAGCGUGGGGAGCGAACAGGAUUAGAUACCCCUGUAGUCCCUGUCUCUUAUAC
Molecule: ribosomal RNA, 301 nt
Filed under: uncultured bacterium
Lineage: Bacteria
Description: partial 16S ribosomal RNA
Rfam family: Bacterial small subunit ribosomal RNA
Source: RNAcentral